UAGGGAAUCUUCCACAAUGGGCGAAAGCCUGAUGGAGCAACGCCGCGUGUGUGAUGAAGGGUUUCGGCUCGUAAAACACUGUUGUAAGAGAAGAAUGACAUUGAGAGUAACUGUUCAAUGUGUGACGGUAUCUUACCAGAAAGGAACGGCUAAAUACGUGCCAGCAGCCGCGGUAAUA
This 178-nucleotide ribosomal RNA is filed under the name uncultured bacterium. Its description in RNAcentral is "partial 16S ribosomal RNA". It matches the Rfam family "Bacterial small subunit ribosomal RNA", at positions 355 to 525 of the family's 1533-position model. The record is from RNAcentral.